RNAcentral lists this small nucleolar RNA (86 nucleotides) under Marchantia polymorpha subsp. ruderalis. Its description in RNAcentral is "Small nucleolar RNA snR60/Z15/Z230/Z193/J17". It matches the Rfam family "Small nucleolar RNA snR60/Z15/Z230/Z193/J17". From Rfam's summary of the family: The members of this family belong to the C/D class of snoRNAs which contain the C (UGAUGA) and D (CUGA) box motifs. Most of the members of the box C/D family function in directing site-specific 2'-O-methylation of substrate RNAs. The record is from Rfam by way of RNAcentral. Lineage: Eukaryota; Viridiplantae; Streptophyta; Marchantiopsida; Marchantiales; Marchantiaceae.
UCGUCACGGAUGAUGUUACGCAUAGUUCAUAUUUAUGCACUGAAAAUGAAUAUAGCAUUGUCUUUCGCUCCUAUCUGACGUUUUGA